This 253-nucleotide ribosomal RNA is filed under the name uncultured bacterium. Its description in RNAcentral is "partial 16S ribosomal RNA". It matches the Rfam family "Bacterial small subunit ribosomal RNA", at positions 524 to 776 of the family's 1533-position model. The record is from RNAcentral.
UACAGAGGGGGCAAGCGUUGUUCGGAAUUACUGGGCGUAAAGGGCGCGUAGGCGGCCUGCUAAGUCGAACGUGAAAUCCCUGGGCUCAACCCAGGAACUGCGUCCGAUACUGGUUGGCUUGAAUCCGGGAGAGGGAUGUGGAAUUCCAGGUGUAGCGGUGAAAUGCGUAGAUAUCUGGAGGAACACCGGUGGCGAAGGCGACAUCCUGGACCGGUAUUGACGCUGAGGCGCGAAAGCCAGGGGUGCAAACGGG